AUUCUAUUAUUCUAGUAUAAAUUCAAGGGCCUUGGAGCUUGAUCUUGAAUUUGAAUUUGAUUUAUCCAUCACGAACACUUUGAUUUUUGCCCUGAAUUUUAUCACGAAUAAGUAGCCUUGAUCUUGAACGCAUUGUUGUUGAUUUGACUUCGUUCUUGAUCUUGAAUACUUGAAUUGUUCCUUGUUCUUGAGCUUGAAUACUUGAUCUAUUCUUUGUU
RNAcentral lists this long non-coding RNA (218 nucleotides) under Nicotiana benthamiana. Its description in RNAcentral is "long non-coding RNA (NBEN_LNC011912)". The record is from RNAcentral. Lineage: Eukaryota; Viridiplantae; Streptophyta; Magnoliopsida; Solanales; Solanaceae.